UCGGGAAUUUUGGGCAAUGGGGGAAACCCUGACCCAGCAACGCCGCGUGAAGGAUGAAGUAUUUCGGUAUGUAAACUUCGAAAGAAUAGGAAGAAUAAAUGACGGUACUAUUUAUAAGGUCCGGCUAACUACGUGCCAGCAGCCGCGGUAAUACGUAGGGACCAAGCGUUGUUCGGAUUUACUGGGCGUAAAGGGCGCGUAGGCGGCAUGACAAGUCACUUGUGAAAUCUCUGGGCUUAACCCAGAACGGCCAAGUGAUACUGUCGCGCUAGAGUGCAGAAGGGGCAAUCGGAAUUCUUGGUGUAGCGGUGAAAUGCGUAGAUAUCAAGAGGAACACCUGAGGUGAAGACGGGUUGCUGGUCCGGUACUGACGCUGAGGUGCGAAAGCGUGGGGAGCAAACAGGAUUAGAUACCCUAGUAGUCCCUGAGCGGGCUGGCAAGGCGCAU
This 447-nucleotide ribosomal RNA is filed under the name uncultured bacterium. Its description in RNAcentral is "bacterial SSU rRNA". It matches the Rfam family "Bacterial small subunit ribosomal RNA", at positions 355 to 825 of the family's 1533-position model. The record is from RNAcentral.